Molecule: ribosomal RNA, 967 nt
Filed under: Haloarcula sp. R1-2
Lineage: Archaea; Methanobacteriati; Methanobacteriota; Halobacteria; Halobacteriales; Haloarculaceae
Description: bacterial SSU rRNA
Rfam family: Archaeal small subunit ribosomal RNA
Source: RNAcentral
AUUCCGGUUGAUCCUGCCGGAGGCCAUUGCUAUCGGAGUCCGAUUUAGCCAUGCUAGUUGCACGAGUUUAGACUCGUAGCAUAUAGCUCAGUAACACGUGGCCAAACUACCCUACAGACCGCAAUAACCUCGGGAAACUGAGGCCAAUAGCGGAUAUAACUCUCAUGCUGGAGUGCAGAGAGUUAGAAACGUUCCGGCGCUGUAGGAUGUGGCUGCGGCCGAUUAGGUAGAUGGUGGGGUAACGGCCCACCAUGCCGAUAAUCGGUACAGGUUGUGAGAGCAAGAGCCUGGAGACGGUAUCUGAGACAAGAUACCGGGCCCUACGGGGCGCAGCAGGCGCGAAACCUUUACACUGCACGACAGUGCGAUAGGGGGACUCCGAGUGUGAGGGCAUAUAGCCCUCGCUUUUCUGUACCGUAAGGUGGUUCAGGAACAAGGACUGGGCAAGACCGGUGCCAGCCGCCGCGGUAAUACCGGCAGUCCAAGUGAUGGCCGAUAUUAUUGGGCCUAAAGCGUCCGUAGCUUGCUGUGUAAGUCCAUUGGGAAAUCGACCAGCUCAACUGGUCGGCGUCCGGUGGAAACUACACAGCUUGGGGCCGAGAGACUCAACGGGUACGUCCGGGGUAGGAGUGAAAUCCUGUAAUCCUGGACGGACCACCAAUGGGGAAACCACGUUGAGAGACCGGACCCGACAGUGAGGGACGAAAGCCAGGGUCUCGAACCGGAUUAGAUACCCGGGUAGUCCUGGCUGUAAACAAUGCUCGCUAGGUAUGUCACGCGCCAUGAGCACGUGAUGUGCCGUAGUGAAGACGAUAAGCGAGCCGCCUGGGAAGUACGUCCGCAAGGAUGAAACUUAAAGGAAUUGGCGGGGGAGCACCACAACCGGAGGAGCCUGCGGUUUAAUUGGACUCAACGCCGGACAUCUCACCGGUCCCGACAGUAGUAAUGACAGUCAGGUUGACGACUU